CAGUUGAUGACCAAGUUCUCGAGA
RNAcentral lists this microRNA (24 nucleotides) under Brachypodium distachyon (stiff brome). Its description in RNAcentral is "bdi-miR7762-5p". The record is from miRBase by way of RNAcentral. Lineage: Eukaryota; Viridiplantae; Streptophyta; Magnoliopsida; Poales; Poaceae.